CCUAGUGGGGCAUCUGCUUCAGACUCAGAGCAGCAGUGAAUAUGGGGAUCCCUGCCAGAGGGCCUGGGUGUCCCCCAAGCCGGGGGCUGUAGACCAGCCUUGGGAACCCCUGGAGGUGGGCCUGAAGGUAGAAAAGGAGGGGUCUAUGUUCCUGCUUCAGGCAAUGACAGUGCACAGGGAUCAGAUGUCUCUCUCCCGGCCAAAGGCGAGACUCUGGGGGCCUGGAAGGAGAGAGGGGCUGGGCUUGAGAGAAUUGUCUGGUAUGGACCUGGUAUGGACCUGAGGAAGAAAACCAGUCUCCAGUGCCUGUGUUGUUCCUGUGGACCCCUGGCUUCUCUCCCCAGCAUGGCCCCUGGGAUCCUCCCUGGAUUCUACUGGCCCAAGCCCAGGGAAGCAUCAUAGGGCCUUCACCCUGUUCUCCAAGGCCUCCUUCCCCCACCUUCUUUCUUUCUGCCUGUCUCACUCUGUAGAGACAACCAGCAGUGAGGGCCAGAGGGCUUUGGGAGGGGAACCUUCCUUCACACAUGAUGUUGCACUGACCUCUGGGAGCUUUUUCUGACUGCAAAAACAGCCCAAUGAAUUAUUGCCCUUGAAAUUUCAGCUUUUCUCCCCAAUCUCAGCUAAGCUUCACAUUUGGGUGGGGGAUUUUGGGGGACAGAAUGACAAUGUGGAGAUGUUCUGGCCAUAUGAUGGGAAAAUAAAGGAAAGGUUGGAGACCUCUGAGAAUCCUUU
RNAcentral lists this long non-coding RNA (732 nucleotides) under Vombatus ursinus (common wombat). RNAcentral describes it as "lncRNA (ENSVURG00010010544.1)". The record is from RNAcentral. Lineage: Eukaryota; Metazoa; Chordata; Mammalia; Diprotodontia; Vombatidae.